ACCAACAGCCUCUGUACAUGUAUCAUCUGUGUGAAGUGGAAAAUUUAUAUUCUGUUGAGUCAAUAAUAUAAUUAUUUAAAUGCUGAUCAUGUUGCACAUGAUUCAACAGAAUAUCAAUUUUCCACUUCACACGGAUGAUACAUGUACGAAGCUGUUGGU
Non-coding RNA from Xyrichtys novacula (pearly razorfish), 159 nucleotides. NCBI's taxonomy places the organism in Eukaryota, Metazoa, Chordata, Actinopteri, Labriformes, Labridae. The record is from the annotation of a GenBank genome assembly.